This 876-nucleotide long non-coding RNA is filed under the name Setaria viridis. RNAcentral describes it as "long non-coding RNA (SVIR_LNC007032)". Lineage: Eukaryota; Viridiplantae; Streptophyta; Magnoliopsida; Poales; Poaceae. The record is from RNAcentral.
UCUCUCUCUCUCUCUAGAGUAAGGCGGACCUCAGAAUAAUAAAGGACCAAGAAAGAGAGAUACGGAUGUGAAAGGCUGGCACGGAAUGCGUGGGGGAGGGGGGAAUUAACACCAGAGAGUCGUGACCCAGGAGGAGUCACGGCGCUCGCAAAGGGAGGUUCCACCGAAACAAAUCCGAAUCACCUUCCUUCUCCCUGUUGGAUUCUUCUUCGUCUUUUUUUUUUUUUGCUUCUUUCCUUUUGUUUUUUGCACUUUCCUUUUUUUUUUGAUUGCUUUCGAUCUUUUUUUUUUUUGACAGGGGAGGGGCGAUCGGAGUAGUGGGAUGGCGCGGCGCGGUUGUCGCGGGGGGAGGUGCGGUGGGCGCGGCUGGUAGGGCAAGCAGCGGAACGGCGGCGGCGGCGAAAACUAGGGUUAGAUGAAAAAUGAGAAACAAAAGAUUAAACACAAGUAACCAGCAACAAUUGAACGAGUAGGCACACAAAUUCAACAAAGACACUUAUUGAAAGAAUGUGCGAGGCUAAACGGUUGCUGGGACAAAGGAUCUAACCUGAAAAAAUUUGUUUUGGUUUUUGUGGACUGUAGGAAGGGAAAAACACUCGGUAAAACUCACCGAUCAACCUGGAAAGCUGAUACCACUUGAUAGAGUCGGAGUGCCCGAUCUUUCGGUGAGUGGAGAUAAAUUCGAUUUGGUGGAAGUAGACCCUCACGAUCCGACUACGACGAGCGAACCCGAAGCGCCAAUGCAAUCGCUGAACCAACUCCCGAUGGUUACCAACCUCGCCGGUGCGAGAUCAGCCUGAUCACGAAGAUCAAUUCCUGUCUGCAAUCGAAGAACGAACAAGAAAAAGAGGCGAGCAAUCUAAAUAUCACUCGAAG